This 351-nucleotide long non-coding RNA is filed under the name Drosophila melanogaster (fruit fly). RNAcentral describes it as "long non-coding RNA:CR45321". The record is from RNAcentral. Lineage: Eukaryota; Metazoa; Arthropoda; Insecta; Diptera; Drosophilidae.
AACAUUCAAUUAUCGGAAAUCGGGCACUAUAUUUAAAAUAUCGUAUUGAAUUUCAAAUCCGGGUUUUGUUAGUCAUUUUUUAUACGUUUUAUAAUUAUUUUCUUUCUGUUGAAUUUUAAACUCCGAUGUAUCCCGCCGUGUCCGCUGUUUACCGCCGACGUCCAGCUGACGGUUCCACCCUUCUUUAACUUACAUAUGUAUAUGUACAUUUCAACGAAUCUAGUAUACCCUUUCAGUCUACGAAAAUUUUAAUCUUAGUUCAAUCAAAUGAUGUAUAUUAGUAUAUAGGUACAUAGUCGAUGGCCUCGGUUAUAUUAUCUUAAAUAAAUAAAUAAUGAAGGAUUGAUGAAU